GAUGAAGAACGUAGCGAAAUGCGAGAAGUAGUGUGAAUUGCAGAAUUCAGUGAAUCAUCGAAUCUUUGAACGCACAUUGCGCCCCUUGGUAUUCCAUGGGGCAUGCCUGUUCGAGCGUCAUUUGUACCCUCAAGCUAUGCUUGGUGUUGGGUGUUUGUCCUCUCCUUUGCGAUUGGACUCGCCUUAAAGACAUUGGCAGCCAGUGUAUUGGUCUUGAAGCGCAGCACAUUUUGCGAUUCUUGCUGAUAAUCACUAGCGUCCAGUAAGCCUAUUUUAACACUUUUGACCUCGGAUCAGGUAGGGAUACCCGCUGAACUUAAGCAUAUCAAUAAGCGGAGGA
This 340-nucleotide unclassified non-coding RNA is filed under the name soil metagenome. Its description in RNAcentral is "partial contains 5.8S ribosomal RNA, internal transcribed spacer 2, and large subunit ribosomal RNA". The stretch from base 1 to 120 matches the Rfam family "5.8S ribosomal RNA", at positions 35 to 154 of the family's 154-position model. The record is from RNAcentral.